Molecule: non-coding RNA, 933 nt
Organism: Kogia breviceps (pygmy sperm whale)
Lineage: Eukaryota; Metazoa; Chordata; Mammalia; Artiodactyla; Physeteridae
Source: RefSeq, a predicted model, not a curated record
GGGGGGGGUAAGGGGGGGUUGGGCAGAAUUUGCCUUGGUUCUGUUAAAGAACCAGCUGCAGGAAGCUAUUUCAAGUGAAGAGCUUCAGUCAAUACAAAUCUGAAAGCAGUGACAUCAUUUUUUGACCUGAGUUCGUCUUUUAGUCAUGGUAGAAAGGUUAGUCUCCGUACAACAUUGGAAAAUAAAAUGAUUUUCCUUCCCAGUAUGUUUAUUACCAACUACAUUUCACUUUAUUCCCAAAUCUUCUGGCCAGUUUCACCUCCUCUAGUGGUCUGUCAGAACCAGAUCCUCCAGAAAAAGAUACAAGUGCUCCUCCCUUAUGUGAUUCUGAUGCUCCUGGGAUUAUUUGAAAAGAUUUCAAAAUUUUACAAGGAGAAUCUGUUAAAAAAUGUCUCAGAUUAUUAUAAUUGGACUUACCUGGUGGCACGAUGGUUAAGAAUCCGCCUGCCAAUGCAGGGAACACAGGUUCGAGCCCUGGUCCGGGAAGAUCCCACAUACCGCAGAGCAGCUAAGCCUGUGCGCCACAACUACUGAACCUGCGCUCUAGAACCCGCGAGCCACAACUACUGAAGCCCGUGCACCUAGAGCCCGUGCUCCGCAACAAGAGAAGCCAGCACAAUGAGAGGCCUGCGCACAGCAAUGAAGAGUAGCCCCUGCUCGCUGGAACUAAAACAACAAAUUAGAAAGCCCUCGAGGAGCAACAAAGACCCAAAGCAGACAAAAAUAAGAAGUAGUUGCAAGGAGGAGGCUAUUCCCAGGGCUUUGGUCUGUAGGCACUCCCCAUGCCUGAAAUUUUACUGGCACUGUGGAAAUGGGGCAGUGGUUUCACUUUUCACUCUGCCUUCAGUGGGGCUCCCUGGAAGAAGUGCUAUGCCAGUGACUGGUGUUUUUCCUGAAGAAAGUAUCUCGGCCUUAAUGACCGGAGGUUUGGAU